AUUGAACGCUGGCGGCAUGCCUUACACAUGCAAGUCGAACGGCAGCACGGGAGCUUGCUCCUGGUGGCGAGUGGCGAACGGGUGAGUAAUACAUCGGAACGUACCCUGAAGUGGGGGAUAACGUAGCGAAAGUUACGCUAAUACCGCAUAUUCUGUGAGCAGGAAAGAGGGGGAUCGCAAGACCUCUUGCUUUAGGAGCGGCCGAUGUCGGAUUAGCUAGUUGGUGAGGUAAAGGCUCACCAAGGCGACGAUCCGUAGCGGGUCUGAGAGGAUGAUCCGCCACACUGGGACUGAGACACGGCCCAGACUCCUACGGGAGGCAGCAGUGGGGAAUUUUGGACAAUGGGCGCAAGCCUGAUCCAGCCAUGCCGCGUGAGUGAAGAAGGCCUUCGGUUGUAAGCUCUUCGGUGGGGUAAGGAAAGUUAGCAC
This 429-nucleotide ribosomal RNA is filed under the name uncultured bacterium. RNAcentral describes it as "bacterial SSU rRNA". It matches the Rfam family "Bacterial small subunit ribosomal RNA", at positions 30 to 459 of the family's 1533-position model. The record is from RNAcentral.